AACCUAGCACACCUGCGGUGUGUACCUGCGGAAGGAUCAUUACCGAGUUAGGGUCUUUUGGCCCGACCUCCAACCCUUUGUUUAUUAUACCAUGUUGCUUUGGUGGGCCUGCCUUUCGGGGCUGCCGGGGGCAUCACUGCCCCUGACUCGUGCCUGCCAGGAGCCUUUUUAAAUUCAGUGUUCAACAGUGCUGUCUGAGUCCCAGUAUCAGAAUAUCACAAAAACUUUCAACAAUGGAUC
RNAcentral lists this unclassified non-coding RNA (240 nucleotides) under soil metagenome. RNAcentral describes it as "partial contains 5.8S ribosomal RNA, internal transcribed spacer 2, and large subunit ribosomal RNA". The record is from RNAcentral.